UCGAACGGCAGCACAGAAGAGCUUGCUCUUUGGGUGGCGAGUGGCGGACGGGUGAGUAACACGUAGGAAUCUACCCAGUAGUGGGGGAUAACCUGGGGAAACCCAGGCUAAUACCGCAUACGCCCUGAGGGGGAAAGCGGGGGAUCUUCGGACCUCGCGCUAUUGGAUGAGCCUGCGUCGGAUUAGCUAGUUGGUGGGGUAAGGGCCCACCAAGGCGACGAUCCGUAGCUGGUCUGAGAGGAUGACCAGUCACACCGGAACUGAGACACGGUCCGGACUCCUACGGGAGGCAGCAGUGGGGAAUAUUGGACAAUGGGCGCAAGCCUGAUCCAGCCAUGCCGCGUGGGUGAAGAAGGCCUUCGGGUUGUAAAGCCCUUUAGGUGGGGAGGAAGGCAUUCAUGCUAAUACCAUGGAUGAUUGACGUUACCCACAGAAUAAGCACCGGCUAACUCCGUGCCAGCAGCCGCGGUAAUACGGAGGGUGCAAGCGUUAAUCGGAAUUACUGGGCGUAAAGCGCACGUAGGCGGUUUGACAAGUGGGAUGUGAAAGCCCUGGGCUCAACCUGGGAACUGCAUCCCAAACUGUCAGGCUAGAGUAUGGUAGAGGGGGGCGGAAUUCCCGGUGUAGCGGUGAAAUGCGUAGAGAUCGGGAGGAACAUCAGUGGCGAAGGCGGCCCCCUGGACUGAUACUGACGCUGAGGUGCGAAAGCGUGGGGAUCAAACAGGAUUAGAUACCCUGGUAGUCCACGCUGUAAACGAUGAGAACUGGCCGUCGGGGCCCUUCGGGGUUUGGUGGCGUAGCUAACGCGCUAAGUUCUCCGCCUGGGGAGUACGGACGCAAAGGCUAAAACUCAAAUGAAUUGACGGGGGCCCGCACAAGCGGUGGAGCAUGUGGUUUAAUUCGAUGCAACGCGAAGAACCUUACCUGCCCUUGACAUCCUCGGAACUUGUCAGAGAUGACUUGUGCCUUCGGGAACCGAGAGACAGGAGCUGCAUGGCUGUCGUCAGAUCGUGUCGUGAGAUGAUGGGAAAGUCCCGUAACGAGCGCA
Molecule: ribosomal RNA, 1048 nt
Filed under: gamma proteobacterium enrichment culture clone NA-TCI-2
Lineage: Bacteria; Pseudomonadati; Pseudomonadota; Gammaproteobacteria
Description: bacterial SSU rRNA
Rfam family: Bacterial small subunit ribosomal RNA
Source: RNAcentral